Molecule: transfer-messenger RNA, 347 nt
Filed under: Sporomusaceae bacterium
Lineage: Bacteria; Bacillati; Bacillota; Negativicutes; Selenomonadales; Sporomusaceae
Also listed under: 1 other name
Rfam family: transfer-messenger RNA
About the family: Bacterial tmRNA, also known as 10Sa RNA or SsrA, is named for its dual tRNA and mRNA-like properties. Its role is to liberate the mRNA from a stalled ribosome.
Source: Rfam by way of RNAcentral
GGGGACGUAAUGGUUUCGACAGGGGUAGUUGUGGCAUGGGUAGCGAGCCGGGGUUCCAUCUGCCCGUCAAGACGGUGGAAAAUAGUAAACGCAAACAACGAUUACGCUUUAGCAGCUUAAUGCUAACGUUCUACUCUCCCACUUCCUGCGGGGCGGGAUAGGACGUCACAUAGCGGGAUACCUGAGGCUCAAUUCUCGGAGAGCCGACUGGGAAACUUUAUCGAGAUAGUACUAGCGAAGCCUGUCUGUGGGCGUCAACGGUGCGAAUUUUAAAUCACAGAAUGCGCUCGGAGAAGCCUAUGUAGCAAUACUUUUGGACAGGAGUUCGAUUCUCCUCGUCUCCACCA